UAGGGAAUCUUCCGCAAUGGGCGAAAGCCUGACGGAGCAACGCCGCGUGAGUGAUGAAGGUCUUCGGAUCGUAAAACUCUGUUAUUAGGGAAGAACAAAUGUGUAAGUAACUAUGCACGUCUUGACGGUACCUAAUCAGAAAGCCACGGCUAACUACGUGCCAGCAGCCGCGGUAAUACGUAGGUGGCAAGCGUUAUCCGGAAUUAUUGGGCGUAAAGCGCGCGUAGGCGGUUUUUCAAGUCUGAUGUGAAAGCCCACGGCUCAACCGUGGAGGGUCAUUGGAAACUGGAAAACUUGAGUGCAGAAGAGGAAAGUGGAAUUCCAUGUGUAGCGGUGAAAUGCGCAGAGAUAUGGAGGAACACCAGUGGCGAAGGCGACUUUCUGGUCUGUAACUGACGCUGAUGUGCGAAAGCGUGGGGAUCAAACAGG
This 429-nucleotide ribosomal RNA is filed under the name Actinomycetes bacterium. RNAcentral describes it as "Actinobacteria bacterium partial 16S ribosomal RNA". It matches the Rfam family "Bacterial small subunit ribosomal RNA", at positions 355 to 776 of the family's 1533-position model. Lineage: Bacteria; Bacillati; Actinomycetota; Actinomycetes. The record is from RNAcentral.